UCUGCCGUAAUGUAGUUCGGCGAUCGUCGCCCCGGUCUACGGAACCGAAGGUUACAGGUUCGAAUCCUGUCGGGUGUA
This 78-nucleotide transfer RNA is filed under the name Tautonia sociabilis. RNAcentral describes it as "Isosphaeraceae bacterium GM2012 tRNA-Arg". Lineage: Bacteria; Pseudomonadati; Planctomycetota; Planctomycetia; Isosphaerales; Isosphaeraceae. The record is from RNAcentral.